UUGCACACAGAAAAGUAGUGGCUCAAAUUAAAUUACGAAACUAUAUGUAUUAUUAAUUACGAUCUAAAUUAAUACUACUAGUAGUAGUAGUUGUUAACUUAUAAAAAGAAAAAAAGAAAAACAAGCUGGAUCGACGAGAAAAGCAAUACGUCUCUCAUGAAUCUUGGUCCAUCGCCUAGUGAAAACAAUUCCAAAAUUUUGAUUUUGAUUUUAAUAUUUUUAUAAAUAAAUAAUGGGUGACCUCUUUUUAAGGGAAACAGAGAAUUGAAUGAACAAAAGAGUGAGAGGGAACAUCAUAUUUAUGUUUCUGAACCGC
Molecule: long non-coding RNA, 316 nt
Filed under: Capsella rubella
Lineage: Eukaryota; Viridiplantae; Streptophyta; Magnoliopsida; Brassicales; Brassicaceae
Description: long non-coding RNA (CRUB_LNC003431)
Source: RNAcentral